AUGAUCAGGAACUAUUAUUGGGGUGCUGAAAAAGGUAAACGGAAAACAUAUUGGUAUGCUUGGGAUAAGAUGACACGACCCAAGUUUUUGGGAGGUCAGGGUUUUAGGGACUUUCGGUCGUUUAAUCUGGCACUUCUUGCCACACAAGCAUGCCGAUUGCUAUCUUUCCCAAAUAGUCUUUGUGCCAGGCUCCUGAAGGCAAAAUAUUACCCAAGUGGCAGAUUAGAAGACACCAUUUUUACAGGAAACCCCUCUCCAACUUGGCAAGCUAUCAGCUAUGGGUUAGAACUCCUCAAAAAAGGACUCGUUUGGAGAAUUGCUAAUGGCCAGAAUGUCCGUGUUUGGCGUGACAGAUGGGUGGUGCGUGAACCUACUGGUUGUUUAAUAUCUCACAAAGGGCGCUGCAGGUUCAAGUGGGUGUCCGAGCUUUUGGAUCAUAAUGGAUCGUUGGACCUCACGAAACUGCAUCAGUUCUUCCUACCCUAUAUGUGA
This 492-nucleotide ribosomal RNA is filed under the name Triticum aestivum (bread wheat). RNAcentral's name for it is "partial small subunit ribosomal RNA". Lineage: Eukaryota; Viridiplantae; Streptophyta; Magnoliopsida; Poales; Poaceae. The record is from RNAcentral.